This is a long non-coding RNA of Canis lupus familiaris (dog), 534 nucleotides long. RefSeq lists it as uncharacterized. NCBI's taxonomy places the organism in Eukaryota, Metazoa, Chordata, Mammalia, Carnivora, Canidae. The transcript is spliced from 3 exons. The record is from RefSeq and is a predicted model, not a curated record.
CACCCCAGAAGGAAGCCCCGGAGCCUUUCCAGCCGCCCCUCGCCCUGCCCCCUGCCCCAGGCCCUGGCGACCACUACCUUCUGUCUCUUGGGGACAUUUCCUGUGAGGAGAUCGUAUGACAUGUGGGGUCUCGGGCACCGGCCUGGUCCCAGGUUUGGACCCCGCGCAGGUGCAGGACAGCUGCGGCGGGACCCUAAUCCCCGCUCAGCUCUGGGGGAGCAGACACAGCUUCAAGCCGCCAGACCACACAUGAGCCACGUGAGAAGUUCCUCUGAGAGUGCCAUCUGUUUCUGCUAGGACUCCGGCAGCCUUCAAACAUUGAUGUAGAGCUUGCUCAUCUGUCUGCCCCAAGAUCUACUUUCCUUCUGCCUUAAUAAAGUAACACUUUUAUUCUUAGCUGGGCAGGUGGCUACCCCUAAUGAAGAUUUCUUGUCCAGCCUCCUCUGCAAUUAGCUAUGGCCAUGCGACUUAGUUCUGCCCUGGUGGCGUAGCGGUUUAGCGCCGCCUGCAGCCCAGGGUGUGAUCCUGGAGACC